ACCCGCCGCCUAACUGCGAAGCUAUAAAUAGUACCGUACAGAUUUUGUCAAUUUACAAAUAGAGGACUCUAUUACGCUUUGUACUGGUGUAGUUCUGCAGUAUCGAAUGCGGUAAAUAAUUAGACCAGCAGGAGGGAGAAAUAGGUGAGUGAGAGAGGCAGAUGGAUCCGUACGGAGGAGCAGGAAAGUCCGUGAAGCGAACUUGGAAGCCGUGUCACUGACCCGGUCCGCAGAAGCCCCCGACUCGAGCCGGGCCCCGGAAGUUACCGCGCCUUGCGUCCCACCGCGGUUGCCCGCAGUUCACCAUGAACCGGUGCCCG
This 320-nucleotide long non-coding RNA is filed under the name Phoenix dactylifera (date palm). RNAcentral describes it as "long non-coding RNA (PDAC_LNC008673)". The record is from RNAcentral. Lineage: Eukaryota; Viridiplantae; Streptophyta; Magnoliopsida; Arecales; Arecaceae.